This 72-nucleotide transfer RNA is filed under the name Anolis carolinensis (green anole). It matches the Rfam family "tRNA". From Rfam's summary of the family: Transfer RNA (tRNA) molecules are approximately 80 nucleotides in length. Lineage: Eukaryota; Metazoa; Chordata; Lepidosauria; Squamata; Anolidae. The record is from Rfam by way of RNAcentral.
GUCAAUAUGGUUUAGUGGUUUGAGUGUUGGACUAUAAUUCUGAAUAUUAGGGUUUGAUCCUUUGUUUUGACC